UCAGAGCCCCGGCCCGGGGCCUCCGGACGAGGGGUGCCCUACCCGGUGUGCGACAAGACGGCCCGUA
Molecule: non-coding RNA, 67 nt
Organism: Dietzia cinnamea P4
Lineage: Bacteria; Bacillati; Actinomycetota; Actinomycetes; Mycobacteriales; Dietziaceae
Source: Rfam